GUUUCUGUAGCUCAGUUGGAUAGAGCGUUCGCCUCCUAAGCGAAAGGUCGGCAGUUCGAUUCUGCCCAGGAACGCCA
RNAcentral lists this transfer RNA (77 nucleotides) under Aeromonadales bacterium. RNAcentral's name for it is "tRNA-Arg". It matches the Rfam family "tRNA". Rfam says of the family: Transfer RNA (tRNA) molecules are approximately 80 nucleotides in length. The record is from RNAcentral. Lineage: Bacteria; Pseudomonadati; Pseudomonadota; Gammaproteobacteria; Aeromonadales.